UGUGUUGAGAUUUCUAAAAGGC
This 22-nucleotide non-coding RNA is filed under the name Arabidopsis thaliana (thale cress). Lineage: Eukaryota; Viridiplantae; Streptophyta; Magnoliopsida; Brassicales; Brassicaceae. The record is from RNAcentral.